RNAcentral lists this ribosomal RNA (413 nucleotides) under Saturnispora sp. DC198. Its description in RNAcentral is "eukaryotic LSU rRNA". The stretch from base 79 to 231 matches the Rfam family "5.8S ribosomal RNA". Lineage: Eukaryota; Fungi; Ascomycota; Pichiomycetes; Pichiales; Pichiaceae. The record is from RNAcentral.
UACACUUGAGUUUAUAGAACACACACCCAAUUAAAUUAUGCAAUAUUCAACCAAGUUAUUUAACGUUAAAAAAAUUAAAACUUUCAACAACGGAUCUCUUGGCUCUCGCACCGAUGAAGAGCGCAGCGAAAUGCGAUAACUAAUGUGAAUUGCAGGCAUCGUGAAUCAUCGAGUUCUUGAACGCACAUUGCGCCCUGUGGUAUUCCGCAGGGCAUGCCUGUUUGAGCGUCAGUUCAUUCUAUGAGCUGGAAUUACUGACACGCGCGCGUUAGCGUGUGUGGCCGUUUUUUCAAAAUACAUGUGAAAAACUCUCCAAUGCGUUACUACGUAUCCGCAUUGGGACCAACCACUAAAUUUGACCUCAAAUCAGGUAGGAAUACCCGCUGAACUUAAGCAUAUCAAUAAGCGGAGGA